RNAcentral lists this transfer RNA (58 nucleotides) under Apaloderma vittatum (bar-tailed trogon). It matches the Rfam family "tRNA", at positions 8 to 63 of the family's 71-position model. From Rfam's summary of the family: Transfer RNA (tRNA) molecules are approximately 80 nucleotides in length. Their secondary structure includes four short double-helical elements and three loops (D, anti-codon, and T loops). Lineage: Eukaryota; Metazoa; Chordata; Aves; Trogoniformes; Trogonidae. The record is from Rfam by way of RNAcentral.
UAGCUCAGUCAGUUGAGUGUGGCGCUAACAAUGCCAAGGUCGCGGGUUCGAUUCCUGU